RNAcentral lists this ribosomal RNA (921 nucleotides) under uncultured bacterium. RNAcentral describes it as "bacterial SSU rRNA". It matches the Rfam family "Bacterial small subunit ribosomal RNA", at positions 75 to 995 of the family's 1533-position model. The record is from RNAcentral.
GGGGGCAACCCCUUGAGAGUGGCGAACGGGUGAGUAAUGUAUCGGAACGUGCCCAGUCGUGGGGGAUAACGUAGUGAAAAUUACGCUAAUACCGCAUACGAUCUAUGGAUGAAAGCGGGGGAUCGCAAGACCUCGCGCGAUUGGAGCGGCCGAUAUCAGAUUAGGUAGUUGGUAGGGUAAAGGCCUACCAAGCCAACGAUCUGUAGCUGGUCUGAGAGGACGACCAGCCACACUGGAACUGAGACACGGUCCAGACUCCUACGGGAGGCAGCAGUGGGGAAUUUUGGACAAUGGGCGAAAGCCUGAUCCAGCCAUUCCGCGUGCAGGAUGAAGGCCCUCGGGUUGUAAACUGCUUUUGUACAGAACGAAAAGGUUUCUAUUAAUACUAGGAGCUCAUGACGGUACUGUAAGAAUAAGCACCGGCUAACUACGUGCCAGCAGCCGCGGUAAUACGUAGGGUGCAAGCGUUAAUCGGAAUUACUGGGCGUAAAGCGUGCGCAGGCGGUUAUAUAAGUCAGAUGUGAAAUCCCCGGGCUCAACCUGGGAACUGCAUUUGAGACUGUAUAGCUAGAGUACGGUAGAGGGGGAUGGAAUUCCGCGUGUAGCAGUGAAAUGCGUAGAUAUGCGGAGGAACACCGAUGGCGAAGGCAAUCCCCUGGACCUGUACUGACGCUCAUGCACGAAAGCGUGGGGAGCAAACAGGAUUANAUACCCUGGUAGUCCACGCCCUAAACGAUGUCNACUGGUUGUUGGGUCUUAACUGACUCAGUAACGAAGCUAACGCGUGAAGUUGACCGCCUGGGGANUACGGCCGCAAGGUUGAAACUCAAAGGAAUUGACGGGGACCCGCACAAGCGGNGGNUGAUGUGGUUUAAUUCNAUNCAACGCGAAAAACCUUACCCACCNUUGACAUGUACGGAA